AGGACGAACGCUGGCGGCGUGCUUAACACAUGCAAGUCGAGCGGAAAGGCCCUUCGGGGUACUCGAGCGGCGAACGGGUGAGUAACACGUGAGUAAUCUGCCCCUAGCUCUGGGAUAGCUCCGGGAAACCGGGAUUAAUACCGGAUACGACCACCUUAGACAUCUUUUGUGGUGGAAAGAAUUUCGGCUAGGGAUGAGCUCGCGGCCUAUCAGCUUGUUGGUGGGGUAACGGCCUACCAAGGCGACGACGGUAGCCGGCCUGAGAGGGCGACCGGCCACACUGGGACUGAGACACGGCCCAGACUCCUACGGGAGGCAGCAGUGGGGAUAUUGCGCAAUGGGCGAAAGCCUGACGCAGCGACGCCGCGUGGGGAUGAAGGCCUUCGGGUUGUAAACCCCGUUUCAGCAGGGACGAAGCGAAAGUGACGGUACCUGCAGAAGAAGCGCCGGCUAACUACGUGCCAGCAGCCGC
This 472-nucleotide ribosomal RNA is filed under the name uncultured bacterium. Its description in RNAcentral is "SSU rRNA". It matches the Rfam family "Bacterial small subunit ribosomal RNA", at positions 26 to 518 of the family's 1533-position model. The record is from RNAcentral.